Molecule: ribosomal RNA, 105 nt
Filed under: uncultured bacterium
Lineage: Bacteria
Description: partial 16S ribosomal RNA
Rfam family: Bacterial small subunit ribosomal RNA
Source: RNAcentral
CCGUUGUACACACCGCCCGUCACACCAUGGGAGCGGGUUCUGCCAGAAGCAGUUAGCCUAACCGCAAGGGGGGCGAUUACCACGGCAGGGUUCGUGACUGGGGUG